GACAGAGGUCCCGAGCGUUAGGCGGAAUCACUGGGCUUAAAGCGUGUGUAGGCGGAUGCCUAAGUACCUUGUGAAAUCCCACGGCUCACCCGUGGAACUGCUCGGUAUACUGGGUGUCUUGAGCCACUUAGGGGCUACCGGAACAAAUGGUGGAGCGGUGAAAUGCGUAGAGAUCAGGAGGAACACCCGUGGCGAAGGCGGCCCCCUGGGUCGGCCCUGACGCUGAGGCGCGAAAGCCAGGGGAGCGAACGGG
RNAcentral lists this ribosomal RNA (253 nucleotides) under uncultured bacterium. RNAcentral describes it as "partial 16S ribosomal RNA". It matches the Rfam family "Bacterial small subunit ribosomal RNA", at positions 524 to 776 of the family's 1533-position model. The record is from RNAcentral.